GUCGCUGCAAAGGAGUUUGGCUUCACCAGGCCAUGCAGAUGGCCUGGGGAGUUACUGUUGCAGGGGACUUGUUGGGGUUUAGCAUGGACUGGGAUGUCACAGGGGGCUCUUGGAGCCCCCAUGCCCUUCCCAGCUGGGGCUCCUGUGGAAACUGACCUAGUUGAAAUCUAAGUUUCUGUAAGAUAGAGAGAAUGGUUCUUUGUUACAUUGUCGAGGCUAACCCAGACAAUGACCUUGAAGCCCAGGACAGGGCCUCCUGUGCAGCUCCAGGGGUGCAAGGAACAGAUAGGAGGGGGAGGCAGGGACAAUUUGGACUUGAAUUUUUUUUUUUUCUCAAAAUGAGAAAUUGAGUCUCUCAAAUGUAGAAAAAAAUCGACUGCAGUUUGGCUAGGAUGAGAGUGGCGGGAUGAAGAGACGAACGAGCACACGAUUUCCCAUACACUAGUGUCUGAGCCUUGCAUUCCAACAACCGUCGGAACUCCGCAGGACUCCGCAGGACUCCACUGUGCUCCUCAGUUAUCGUUGGGCCAUAUAACAGUGAAAUUCUUCCUCCUGCUGUGGCGUUUAGGACAACCCUUCUCUUUUUCCCGUCCAGGGAGCAGGAACGGUGGUCUCACGGGGCAUGGGGAACUCUCAGCAACCCCGCAGCCGGCGCUGUCUAAGAGGAUGAACUCUGAGAGCAGGAAGGACUUCUCUGGGUCAGCUCAAGAAAGGCUGGUUAAGGCCCCUCCAUCCACAGCCUCUCAUAUCCAACCAAGAAGAGACAGAAACCGGUGGUUUAAAGCUUCCUCCUGAGAGCAGAGCAGUAACCCGUCCUUACAGCAGCACUUUACUCCGUGACUUGACUUCUGUCUGGGGAGCUGUUUAGUUCAAAUCAAGAGGAGGAGACUUGUGAGAAUAACCAAGAGAAGAGGAAGCCAAGUGAUGAGAAGGAGGUUUGAGUCUUAAUUUCCUUCCAUCUGGGAAACCAAACAAGAACCCAAAUACUUGAAGUAUAAACAUUAGCUGUCUUGAAACAUUUGCAAGACAGUUAGCGGUAUCUUGUCCACCUCAGAAAGCACAACAAUGUCCAAUAAAGGGAGAGUUAAAAAAAAGAUACCA
Molecule: long non-coding RNA, 1101 nt
Filed under: Mus spicilegus (steppe mouse)
Lineage: Eukaryota; Metazoa; Chordata; Mammalia; Rodentia; Muridae
Description: lncRNA (ENSMSIG00000016320.1)
Source: RNAcentral